RNAcentral lists this long non-coding RNA (5115 nucleotides) under Sus scrofa (pig). RNAcentral describes it as "lncRNA (ENSSSCG00000061406.1)". Lineage: Eukaryota; Metazoa; Chordata; Mammalia; Artiodactyla; Suidae. The record is from RNAcentral.
UCUCUUCUCUUUGUCUAUGAGUCUUUUUCUGUCUUGUAUAUAGGUUUUUUUGUGACACAUUUUAGAUUCCACAUAUAAAUGACAUCAUAUGGUUUUUGUAUUUCUCUUUUUGUCUUACUGCACUUAUUAUGAGAAUCUCUAGUUGCAUCCAAGUUGCUGCAAAUGACAGUAUUUGUCCUUUUUAUGGCUAAGUAGUAUUCCAUCAUAUAUGUGUUCCACAUCUUCUUAACCCAUUCAUCUGUUGCUGGACAUUUAGGCUAUUUCCAUGUUCUGGCUAUUGCAAACAGUGCUGUGAUGAACGUAGGGAUGCAUGUAUCUUUUUGAAUGAAUGUUCUGUCCAGAUAUAUGCCCAGGAGUGAUAUUGCUGGAUCAUAUGCUAGUUCUGUAUUUUGUUUUCUGAGGUACUUCCCUACUGUUUUUCAUAAUUGUUGCACAAAUCUACAUUCCCACCAACAGUGAAGGAGGGUUCCCUUCUUUCUAUACCCUCUCUAAUAUUUCUUAUUUGUUGACUUGUUAAUGAUAGCCAUUCUGACCAGUGUGAGGGACCUCAUUGUAGUUUCAAUUUUUAUUUCUCUAAUAAUUAUUGAUGUUGAACAUUUUCUCAUGUAUUUAUUGUCAAUAAAUAUUAGGAAAGUCAAGCUGUAUUUGUCUUCGAGCCUCCAGAAUAUAUUCAGUGUUGCUCUUAUACUACACCAUAGCAUCUACAACCACCAUGACUUCCAUCCAUAUCACUCAAUCAUCACCCAACUUCUGACUUUUUACGUUUAAACUAAACUACUGUAGUGUUGACACCAGUGGCUCCUAACUACUAUUCCAGCAUUUCCAUCUCCUCUUAUUUAGACAUGAACACCAAUGCCAGACUAAGUCUGAAAGCUCAGCUUUGUUUCUCCCUAGGUCAAGAACUUUCAAUUGUUCUCCAUUACCUACUUUAAAACUGAAGCUGUGCAAUAAAAAUAUAAUUAUCCAAACUAUGAUUACAUCUUGGUUAAAAAUAAUGAAAUAGUUGAACCAGAUUUAUCUUUGAUAAGAAGCCAUGAAAGUACCAUUUUGAUUGACUGAAGGUUUUUUGUUUUUUGGUUUUUUUUUUUUUGGCCUUUUGUCUUUUUAGGGCCGCACCUGCAACAUAUGUAGGUUUCCAGGCUAGGGGUCAAAUCAGAGCUGUGGUCACUGGCCUAUGCCAGAGCCACAGAAACACCAGAUCUGAGCCACAUCUGCAACCUACACUACAGCUCCCGGCAAUGCCGGAUCCUUAACUUACUAAGCAAGGUGAGGGAUUAAACCUGCAACCUCAUGGUUCCUAGUCGGAUUUGCUUCCCCUGUGCCACAACAGGAACUCCUGACUGAAGUAUUUUACACACAUCAAGCAAUAAGUAUACAAGUGUGGGGUCAUAUGGAAGUUCUAUGUAUAGAUUUCUAAGGUAUCUCCAAACUGUUCUCCAUAGUGGCUGUACCAGUUUACAUUCCCACCAAUAGUGCAGGAGGGUUCCCUUUUCUCCACAGCCCCUCCAGCACUGGUUAUUUGUGGAUUUAUUAAUGAUGGCCAUUCCGACUGGUGUGAGGUGGUUUCUCAUGGUAGUUUUGAUUUGCAUUUCUCUUAUAAUCAACAACGUUAAGCAUUUUUUCAUGUGCUUGCUGGCCAUCUGUAUAUAUUCCUUGGAGAAAUGUCUAUUCAGGUCUUUUGCCCAUUUUUCCAUUGAUUGAUUGGCUUUUUCGGUGUUGGGUUGUAUAAGUUGCUUAUAUAUUCUAGAGAUUAAGCCCUUGUCCGUUGCAUCAUUUGAAACUAUUUUCUCCCAUUCUGUAAGUUGUCUUUUUGUUUUCUUUUUGGUUUCCUUUGCUGUGCAAAAGCUUUUCAGUUGAUUAGGUCCCAUGGGUUUAUUUUUGCUCUAGUUUCUAUUGCUUUGGGAGACUGACCUGAGAAAAUAUGCGUGAUGUUGAUGUCAGAGAGUGUUUUGCCUAUGUUCUCUUCUAGGAGUUUGAUGGUGUCCUGUCAUAUAUUUAAGUCUUUCAGACAUUUUGAGUUUAUUUUUGUGCAUGGUGUGAGGGUGUGUUCAAGUUUCAUUGCUUUGCAGGCAGCUGUCCAGGUUUCCCAGCAAUGCUUGCUGAAUUGACUUUCCUUUUCCCAUUUUAUGUUCUUGCCUCCCUUGUCAAAGAUUAAUUGACCACAGGUGUCAGGGUUUAUUUCUGGGUUCUCUAUUCUGUUCCAUUGGUCUGUCUGUCUGUUUUGAUACCAGUACCAUAUGACCCUACAAUCCCACUCUUGGGCAUCUAUCCAGACAAAACUCUACUUAAAAGAGACACGUGCACCCGCAUGUUCAUUGCAGCACUAUUCACAAGAGCCAGGACAUGGAAACAACCCAAAUGUCCAUCGACAGAUGAUUGGAUUCGGAAGAUGUGGUAUAUAUACACAAUGGAAUACUACUCAGCCAUAAAAAAGAAUAACAUAAUGCCAUUUGCAGCAACAUGGAUGGAACUAGAGAAUCUCAUACUGAGUGAAAUGAGCCAGAAAGACAAAGACAGAUACCAUAUGAUAUCACUUAUAACUGGAAUCUAAUAUCCAGCACAAAUGAACAUCUCCUCAGAAAAGAAAAUCAUGGACUUGGAGAAGAGACUUGUGGCUGUUUGAUGGGAGGAGGAGGGAGUGGGAGGGAUCGGGAGCUUGGGCUUAUCAGACACAACUUAGAAUAGAUUUACAAGGAGAUCCUGCUGAGUAGCAUUGAGAACUUUGUCUAGAUACUCAUGUUGCAACAGAACAAAGGGGAAAAAAUGUAAUGUAUACAUGUAAGGAUAACUUGAUCCCCUUGCUCUACAGUGGGAAAAUAAAAUUUAAAAAAGAAGUAUACAAGUGUGUUUGUGUGUGAAAAAUAAACAUAUAUGAUUCUACAUUGACACAUACUAUUUAUAUUUAAUGAAAGGAGGGGAAAUAACAUUAUUCUAUAAUAUAAGAGGGUUCUUUAAUUAGUAGAAAGCAUCAAACUAUCAAAAAAAAAGUCCUUAAACUCUUCAAAUAAAGGAGUGCUUUCACACACAAACAAUGACUUGUACCACCACAAUUACGCCAUUUUUUUCUUUGACAAGUCCUCAAAGAGAUGGAAGAGACCACUAGGCAACGAAUUUCUGAUGAAGCAAAAUUAAGAUUAUGCCAUUUGAAACUUUAAUUUCACUUUCCUUUGAAACUUCUUAGCUCUCUAUAUCUUGUUUAGAAUCUUUUCAAUAUACUAUAUAAUACUUUAAACUAGUGGUCUAAAUAAAUUUGGUAAGAAAAUGUAUGCUACAUGAUGUAGCAUUUUGAAAAAGAACCAAGGCAAAGAGAAAAUUAUUAUAUGAAUUGAUGCUAGAAGUAAACCAUGGAAAUUUUACAAAUGUCUAUGACAUUAAAAAAGAGACAUCAAAUUAUAUUCAGGGGUAUCCUUGUACCAGGAGGCUCUCCAUCUCAAAGAAAGUCUGAUUAUACACAAUAAAAAUUCCAGUAGAAGCUUUUAAGUAUUAAAGCCUGAUUAAUCUGACUGUGUUUUUGAGACCCUAUGUAAAGAUUAAGAAGCAGAAAGAGGACCAGACAAUCCGUGACUUAUAUGAUCAGUGCUCAGUUUGCAUGCCCUGAAAUGCUCAGUUUCAGAACCAAGUGGCCAUGUCUGAGUGGUCUUUCAUCUCCUCAAACACUGCCACAGCUGGAAAUUUCUGAAUACAUCAAAAGAGUGGAAAUAGAACUCAGAAAUGUGUCCUAGAAAAUCCCACAAUGUAACAGUACAUGCAUUAUUGGAAGAGAAGUUUACCCUAAUUUGGGGUAUGAACUAUCUUAUCAAUGACCCACUUAUAGGAAAAUAGUGCUGCCUCUGGGAUUUCUUAAAUCAUAAAUUCUCUAAACAAUGUAGAAUAUAACACACAAUAGAGAAGAAAGGGAACACUGUGUUUUUAGGGGAAAGUCUUCUUAUAAAUUUCAUCUAUCUUAACAGUAAGAAUUUUAUAUCAAAACUAUUAUAAUAUGGAAAAUUAAACUGUUAACUCUCCCUAAGAACUAAGGAAAAGAGUUAUUUGUCCAAGCAGGUUCCUAUGAGAGAAGGGGAUAUUUUUCUUAAUUAAAACAACCCCAUUUGUUGUCAACUGGUAAUAACACAGAAUGAUCAAAACAAUAUGAAUACAUGAUUUAGAACUACACUUCCAGCAAAGGAUACCUGAAAAAACUGUAUUGCUUUCUCAACAAUUUCUCACUUCAUUGAUCAUUUCUAGUUGGAGACACUUUGGACAGAGUAAUAGUAUACCCUUUUAGCAUGGUCUGACACAGUUAUUUUACUUUAGAAUCGAUCUCUUCUGCAUCGUCUAAUACAAGGUUCAUAUAUGCAUCAAAACCAAUGAUUUGCCCCUCUACUGCAUGUUCACUUGCUCAUAAAGCCACACCUAAAUCUGAUAUCUAUUUUGUAAGUAUCUGAAGAUGAGGUUGAUGGGCUGCACCAUCACCUUCUGCACUUUCUGGUCCUGGACAUGGAAUUUCAUAGUGGAAGCUCACAAAGACCACAUGAGAAAAGGAAUUUUAUCACUUGAAAAUGUUUCAGAAACAUUUGGAAAUGUUUUCAUGAUAAAUGAAGUAAACAGCUCCCUUUGAUAGAAACUUUUGAGUCAGACAAUAUUUGAAUUAUUAAAAAAAAAAAAAACUGCUCCAGGGAAUUUCCCAAGUAAAUGCUCUUUAGGAUUUGAAAAUCAGGUUACAAUCCUUGAAACAUAUGUCUAAUUUUUUAUAUUACAGACCAUAUUUUAAAUUGUAAAUCUGCGUGAGAAUAAGUUGGUAAUUACUUUGCACUUUCCUUUCACUUCCCUCUUAUCCCACUGUGAGAACCAUUUGAGUUCUUUAGAGGAAUGUUAAAAGUUAAGGGAAGCAGAGUUUGGGGUUCCCAUCGUGGCUCGGUGGUUAACGAAUCCGACUAGGAACCAUGAGGUUGUGGGUUCGGUCCCUGGCCUUGCUCAGUGGGUUAAGGAUCCAGCAUUGCUGUGAGCUGUGGUGUAGGUUGCAGACGCGGCUCGGAUCCCAUGUUGCUGUGGCUCUGGCAUAGGCCAGUGGCUACAGCUCUGAUUCGACCCCUAGCCUGGGAACCUCCAAAUGCCACGGGAGCGGCCCAAGAAAUG